CCCUUAGAUGUUCUGGCUGCACACGUGCUACACUGGCAGGUUCAGCGAGCUUCAUGCCCUGAUCUGAAAGGAAUGGGAAAUCUUUUCAAAACCUGCCGUGCUUGGGAUAGAUGUUUGCAAUUAUUCAUCUUCAACGAGGAUUGCCUUGUAAGCGCACGUCAUCAGCGUGCAUUGAAUACGACCCUGUAUUCUGUACACACCGCCCGUCGCUCCUACCGAUUGAAGUUUUCGGUGAGUUGACAGGAGGAUUUUUUUGAAACUGGUUCGCCAGUGGAUUUUAGAUCCAAAUGCCAACGAAUCGAUGGCUUUAGAGGAAGGAGAAGUCGUAACA
This 331-nucleotide ribosomal RNA is filed under the name uncultured eukaryote. Its description in RNAcentral is "partial 18S ribosomal RNA". It matches the Rfam family "Eukaryotic small subunit ribosomal RNA", at positions 1470 to 1796 of the family's 1831-position model. The record is from RNAcentral.